AUGCCGAAUCACGAUUUUUGGAGCCGCGCUUUUUUUUUAAGCUGGGUGGAGCUUGAGCUUGAGAUUCCUUUGUGAUGGACAUGAGAGGAGAAGAACAAUACUAUAUAUAUAUUUUUUGAUUAGGAAGAACUAUAUUUGAGUGAUGUUUGUGUGUUUCGGUUUAAUGAAUGAAAUUGAGGUUGUUGUGUAGAAGGGUUUAUGUAGACACUAGAGAUUGAGUGUGUAUGUGUUUGUGAAAGUGUGUGUAAAACUGGAUCUAGCUGGCGAUUAUUGUGGUUCCCACUGGAUUCUACUUUGAGAGCGACGUUUAAUAAGCAUAUAUUAUCCGGAUCCAUACAUGGGUAUAUAAUAUUUGAUGUAUUUUUUGUCCUAAAAAAUAAACACAUUUUUGUAAAUUAAUUUUUUUAAUUUUUAGAAGUCUUUUU
This 425-nucleotide long non-coding RNA is filed under the name Cicer arietinum (chickpea). RNAcentral describes it as "long non-coding RNA (CARI_LNC001972)". The record is from RNAcentral. Lineage: Eukaryota; Viridiplantae; Streptophyta; Magnoliopsida; Fabales; Fabaceae.